This 1678-nucleotide long non-coding RNA is filed under the name Falco tinnunculus (common kestrel). RNAcentral describes it as "lncRNA (ENSFTIG00000003569.1)". The record is from RNAcentral. Lineage: Eukaryota; Metazoa; Chordata; Aves; Falconiformes; Falconidae.
CGCGGGAGGGGCCGUACCUCAGGCCGCUGGGCUGUGCUCAGGCGCUUCCCGCCCUGCCUGCGGCCGGCGGCUAGUCUCCUGGCGUGGGGGCGUUUCUAUUGGUUUCUGUAAAUUUUUGGGUUGUUUUACAAGCAUGGAUUUUGUGUUGGCUAUCUUUAGGUUUCAGUUGCGGGGCUGUGCCGCUCUCCGAGCGGUGUGAGGCGCGGCGGUCGCUCGCGGCUGAGGAGGGGCGAGGCGGUGGUGUCCUAUCCCGCCGCCGGGACAGCAGCCGCCUGCACGGACGCUCCCCACGCUUCGCAGUGCCUCUCUGCCUGUGUUAGCCUCUAAAUGGCUGUUCUUCCUUGGCCUUCACCAGGCUAAAAAUGGUAACGGAGGUGUUACCUAAGUGUCAGCAGCCUCAUGCAGAAUACGUGUAUGUAUUCCUAUGUAGCGGUUGGUGGAAAGGGGAAGUAAUGUAUUGCCUUCCCCCCCCAAGUGAAAGUUUUCCAAACCGAUUUCUAUUUUCAGUUCAGAAGCUGUUGCUGCUAACAUGGAUGGCAUGGCUGAAGUACUGUACAGAUGAGUGUAGACCACACCAUCCAGCAUCCUCCAGUGAAGGUGUGUGCUGGGAGGCAGGGCUGUUCGACACAGCAGCUCCUGGCUCAGGCUGAAUUACAGACUCAGCAGGACUGAGGAACCACUUCUGUGGGACAAGGUACGUGCUCCUGAAGAAGUAACUUCUCCUGCAGUAACUCCCUGUUCCUGGCUGUGCGUGGAGCAGUUUUCGGUGACAGCAGAAGCUAGGCACCAGGACCAGCUGGCUCGCGGGCUGCGUGUGGCUGAGCAGCCAGCAGGAGAAAUUGUGUGUUUAUCCCUCACUUCCCACUGAAUGUCUUGCUAGCGCACCUCUAAUGCAGGAAAGAAAAAUAUAAUGCACUUCUUAAAAGGAUGCUCCCCUCUGCAUUGUGUCAUUCUAAUUUCAGAGAGUGGGGACACUUAGGAUUACAUCCUGUGUUUUAUGGGGCUGUGACUCUUGACCAGACAAGGCACUGAGCAACCUGAGUAACUUUGAAGCUGGUCCUGCUUUACGCACAAGGAGAACAAGACGGCCCUCAGCAUGCUUUUCCAACCUAAACUAUGUUGUGUGAUUUGGUAUACUACUUACACCUUGCUUAGCAUAAGUAGCAAAAUUUGCAGAAGCCUGAGGCCACAAGCUGUGAACUUUCACCUAGAUAUGUUGAACUUUUGCCUAGUUAAGUAAAAGAAGGACCCAGAGCAGGUUCAAGCUGACGGUAAGGAAGUUACCAUCUCAGCAGAAGCUGCAGCCUCAGAGAUAAGAAAAGAAACGGCCCAUCUAGAGACAAUGAAGGGACUCAAUGAAGAAUGGGAAGACCCCAGACCUUAAUAUUACUAUUGGUCCAAGCUGUCGCAUGAGGGGUAGGGAACUUAGAUGUGAGUGUAUAAUUGCUCAGGGAUUUCUUUCUUUGGGAUCUCUCUUUGGAGGCACCCAGCUCAAGCUAUAGUUGCUGUUAAUAAAAAGGACUUAUAUAAAAGAAUCUCUUCUUGGCUUACCGAUUCAGUGGAAACCUAGAGUUGAACCCUGUUAUGGUGGCUGGCAUGCGCAAUUUCCAUAACAACUAUUCUGUGACUCUUAAGUAUAAUUUAUUUUAAUUAAAGCUUUUUGUGGCUAAAGUGAAAC